RNAcentral lists this long non-coding RNA (1459 nucleotides) under Papio anubis (olive baboon). RNAcentral's name for it is "lncRNA (ENSPANG00000047723.1)". The record is from RNAcentral. Lineage: Eukaryota; Metazoa; Chordata; Mammalia; Primates; Cercopithecidae.
UGACCUUGUGAUCCGCCCGCCUCGACCUCCCAAAGUGCUGGGAUUACAGAUGUGAGUUACCGCGCCCGGCAGGAUUCUCACUCUUAAAGCAUUCUCCUUUCUUUGGACAGAUCUGUGGUUUUCCUAAUUGAAGGACACAGUCUCAUUCUGUCACCCAGGCUGGAGUGCAGUGGCAUGAUCUCAGUUGACUGCAACCUCCACUUCCUGGGUUCAAGCAAUUCUUCUGCCUCGACCUCCUGAAUAGCUGGGACUACAGGUGUGUGCCACCAUUCCUGGCUAAUUUUUGUAUUUUUAGUAGAGUCAGGGGUUCACUGUGUUGGCCAGGCUGGUCUUCGAUUCCUGAAAGUGCUCCACCAGGCCUUCCAAAGUGUUGGGAUUACAGGCGUGAGCCAGCGUGCUGGGCCUGAUUACACUUUUGAAAGGAAAUCUAAGUGUGGUGCAGACAAUUACCAUCCUUUACCUGUAGACCUGGAGAGAGGAAAAGGUGCGUUUUAAAUUAAUCUGUCUCCUCCCUUUUCUGCUUGGAACCUUUUAUGAAAAUUAGUUGCUUUUAUAUUUUCUCAAUAUACAUUUUCUGGAUACAUGUAAUGUGUGUUUUGCAGAUGCAGUUAAUUUAUUUACUGAGUGGCUAGUUGCUGUGUCAGGUGCUAUGAGGGCUACAAAGAUGAACCAUUGAGCCUUCGUCAUGUGGAUCUCACCAAUAAGGAAUGCAAGAAAAAUCAGGAAAGUACUGUCAUAGGUAUGUCAUUUUUUUAUUCUUUUAACUUUUAUUUUGGCAUAAUUGUAGACUUAAGAAAAGUUGUAACAAUAGUACUAAAAAUUUCCUUUUAUUGGCCAGGUGCGGUGGCUUACACCUGUAAUCCUAGCACCCUGGGAGGCCGAGGUGGGUGGAUCACGAGGUCAGGAGUUCAAGAUCAGCCUGGCCAAUAUGGUGAAACCCCAUCUCUACUAAAAAUACAAAAAUUAGCUGGGCACGGCGGCGGGUGCCUAUAAUCCCAGCUACUCAGGAGCCUGAGGCAGGAGAAUCAUUUGAACCCGGGAGGCGAAGGGGUUGCAGUGAGCCAAGAUCAUGCCACUGCACUCCAGCCUGGGCAACAUGAGCGAGACUGCAUCUCAAAAAAAAAAAAAAAAGAAAAGAAAAGAAAAGAAAAUGCUAUGUUUGAAUAACUCCCUGGCAGGACAGAUAUGGGAUGCUUUGCCUUAUCCUUGUCUUUAGAAACUGAAAUAUUUAGCAACCACACCUGCAGAAGCAUGCUGGCUCUUGAUGCGGGUACUUAUUUUCAAGGCUGUAAACAGCCACAUAACCCCUCUUGGCACUGUGCUAGGCCCUGGGGGUGCAAUGGUGAGCAAGAAAGCCUGGUCCCUGCCCUCCAUUCCUGCCAUGUAUCUAAUCCAGUGGCCUUUCAGCUUAAAACAAUUGUUCUAAAUUGAUGCAUAAUAAUUGUACAAAUCUACAUGG